Non-coding RNA from Rattus norvegicus (Norway rat), 1672 nucleotides. Lineage: Eukaryota; Metazoa; Chordata; Mammalia; Rodentia; Muridae. The record is from RefSeq and is a predicted model, not a curated record.
CUGAGGCGUGGAGAAGCUCCUUAUCUCCCUGAGGGCCACAGAGCUUACAGCAGGCACGAUGCAGAUGUAAGGCCAGGAGGAUUGGCUCCAGAACCUACAUUCCUGGUCCCAGGUUUCAAACUCAGACUGUCAAGCUUGGCAGCCAUCUCUUCCACUGCUGAGGCAUCUAGUGUCCCUUCUUAGCCCAGAAUACUGGUUUCUUCCAAGACACUCUAUUCUUACAGGAGACUUCCACAGCAAGACCAAUUUGCCUGUGAACGUGCAUCUCUUCAACCCUUACCUUCGUUGUGGAGACUCCUGGGACAGACAGUCCUCUUUGAGCAAGAGGCGAGUUUUCUGUGGAAGUUGGAAAGUCACCUGGGCUAACCAAGGACUGCACUUGCAACAACAUGAAUAAAUGAAGCAGAAUUAAGAUUUAUUAAAGUUAGAUGACAGCGCUUCUUCCACCAGAGGAGCCGUUCGUACAGAGGAGCAAAACCUGUUGUUUCCAGCAGCUGUAGAAACUGAAAGGAUGACCGCACCAAGCUUCACUUAAGAUGAAGUUGAACGACGGUACCUGGAUCACUUUAAAAACGCCAUUCAUUCGCUUCCUUUGGAGACAGGGUCUCACUACACCACUCCUGAUGCCCUGGAGCUCACUGUGUGAUGAGGCUGCCCAGACCUUACUAUGUAGACCAAACUGGCCCGGCACCCACAGAGACCUGCCUCCUGACUGCUGGGAUCAAAGGUGUAGGGAAAUACGUGUUUGUGGAAAAUGUCCCCACCGCAGUGAUUUCGGGAAGCUCUGAGGACUGACUGCCAGUGACCAUGUGUGUGUCAGGGACAUAUAGAAAUAUCUGGGGGUUGAGGAUUUAGCUCAGUGGUAGAGCGCUUGCCUAGCAAGCACAAGGCCCUGGAUUCGGUCCCCAGCUCCGAAAAAAAAGAAAAAGAAAAGAAAAAAAGAAAUAUCUGAAGGAUCUGGGAUCUUCCUCUCUUGUCUUUGAGUCAAAUCCCUUCAUCAGGUUCUGGAGUCUGUCUCUCCUGUCUUUCAAAGACUUCCGUUCACCUCCUCCCUCAGUCUCCUCAAACAUUUCUCUCUUAUCAGUGUUUGUCUUGACCUAACUCUCUACCAUCUCAAGCUUGCUUCUCCUGGUUGUACGUUUGCCCACAAGGCUCUCUUUCACCCACAAUAAUUAUCAUGAACUACGGAUGCUUAUAAUUUUUAAACCAGCCAUUGUUUCACAAAUGGAUUUCAACCAUAAAAAUUUGUUAACUCAAUAUCCAUGUUAUCCCAUCCUUAUCUUCCCCUCAGAGUACAGAUUUAUUGUUUUUAUUUAAAUGUAUGCAUAUGUAUGUAUGUAUGCCUGUAUGUAUGCAUACCCGUUUGCCUGCAGAAGAGAGGAUGAGUCCUGAGGUGCUGGAGUUAUAAUAGUUGUGAGCCUCCCAGUAUAGGUGCCAGGAACUGAACCCAGGUCCUCUGAAGAGCAGCCAAUGCUCCUAACUCCUGAGUCAUCUCUAGCCCCAAGAAUGACCUCUUGAUCUACCACUCUGUUUUAGCUUGUGAACACCCAGGAGCCAAGACUCUGCCUUAUUUGUUUGUUUACUUGAUGACCAGCAUGUGGUAUUCUGUCUAUGCUUACAAAUGUCUUUGUGGAUUUUGAAAAAUAAAUUGAGUAUGGUUGCUUUGAGUGAU